This 383-nucleotide ribosomal RNA is filed under the name uncultured bacterium. RNAcentral's name for it is "bacterial SSU rRNA". It matches the Rfam family "Bacterial small subunit ribosomal RNA", at positions 28 to 407 of the family's 1533-position model. The record is from RNAcentral.
GAUGAACGCUAGCGGGAGGCCUAAUACAUGCAAGUCGAACGGUAACAGGGUAGCAAUACCGCUGACGAGUGGCGCACGGGUGCGUAACACGUACACAAUCUACCUUAUACUGGAGCAUAACCUCGGGAAACUGAGGCUAAUUCUCCAUAACAUAUUAAAAAGGCAUCUUUUUGUAUAUUAAAACUACCGGUGGUAUAAGAUGAGUGUGCGUCUGAUUAGCUAGUUGGUGGGGUAACGGCUCACCAAGGCAACGAUCAGUAGCUGGUCUGAGAGGAUGAUCAGCCACACGGGCACUGAGACACGGGCCCGACUCCUACGGGAGGCAGCAGUAGGGAAUAUUGGACAAUGGGCGCAAGACCUGAUCCAGCAAUGCCGCGUGAGUG